RNAcentral lists this ribosomal RNA (252 nucleotides) under uncultured bacterium. Its description in RNAcentral is "partial 16S ribosomal RNA". It matches the Rfam family "Bacterial small subunit ribosomal RNA", at positions 524 to 776 of the family's 1533-position model. The record is from RNAcentral.
UACGGGGGGGCAAGCGUUGUUCGGAAUUACUGGGCGUAAAGGGCGCGUAGGCGGCCUUCUAAGUCGGACGUGAAAUCCCUCGGCUUAACCGAGGAACUGCGUCCGAUACUGAAAGGCUUGAAUCCGGGAGAGGGAUGUGGAAUUCCAGGUGUAGCGGUGAAAUGCGUAGAUAUCUGGAGGAACACCGGUGGCGAAGGCGGCAUCCUGGACCGGCAUUGACGCUGAGGCGCGAAAGCUAGGGGAGCAAACGGG